UGGUUCUGGCAUCGAUGAAGAACGCAGCGAAAUGCGAUAAGUAAUGUGAAUUGCAGAAUUCCGUGAAUCAUCGAAUCUUUGAACGCAUAUUGCGCCCCUUGGUAUUCCGGGGGGCAUGCCUGUUCGAGCGUCAUUAUCACCACUCAAGCCCAGCUUGGUAUUGGGGCAGGCCCGCACCGGCCGCCCCUAAAUUCAGUGGCAGGGACCCUCUCGACCCAGAUGCAGUAACAGCUCGUCUUGGGGCGCGGGGGGUCCAGCGCCAAAACUCACUCAAGGUUGACCUCGGAUCAGGUAGGAAUACCCGCUGA
RNAcentral lists this unclassified non-coding RNA (308 nucleotides) under uncultured fungus. RNAcentral describes it as "partial contains 5.8S ribosomal RNA and internal transcribed spacer 2". The stretch from base 1 to 133 matches the Rfam family "5.8S ribosomal RNA", at positions 22 to 154 of the family's 154-position model. Lineage: Eukaryota; Fungi. The record is from RNAcentral.